Molecule: ribosomal RNA, 305 nt
Filed under: uncultured bacterium
Lineage: Bacteria
Description: bacterial SSU rRNA
Rfam family: Bacterial small subunit ribosomal RNA
Source: RNAcentral
ACCUACGGGGCGCAGCAGUGAGGAAUAUUGGUCAAUGGCCGCAGGGCUGAACCAGCCAAGUCGCGUGAGGGAUGACGGUCCUAUGGAUUGUAAACCUCUUUUGUCAGGGAGCAAAGGGCGCCACGUGUGGCGCUUUGCGAGUACCUGAAGAAAAAGCAUCGGCUAACUCCGUGCCAGCAGCCGCGGUAAUACGGAGGAUGCGAGCGUUAUCCGGAUUUACUGGGUGUAAAGGGAGCGUAGACGGCUGUGCAAGUCUGAAGUGAAAGCCCAGGGCUCAACCCUGGGACUGCUUUGGAAACUGUGGG